This is a non-coding RNA of Salvelinus sp. IW2-2015, 1124 nucleotides long. NCBI's taxonomy places the organism in Eukaryota, Metazoa, Chordata, Actinopteri, Salmoniformes, Salmonidae. The record is from RefSeq and is a predicted model, not a curated record.
GCUAGCAAGUUCUGUCUGACUAUCACGUGACGAGGUGCUGGUUGCUUGAGACAGAAGUAGCUCGUCACGACAUUGAGCUCCGUUGUGAAUGUAGUACAGUAGKAGCGUCCACUAACAGCAAAGAUGGUGGUGUAUAGUGCUAGAAACUAAAUGUUUGACAGUACACGCUACGUGAGGUGUGACAGUUAGCCAGGUGGAGGAGGUACAGUAGCUAUGUGGGUGUUCGGUUAUGGCUCUCUGAUCUGGAAGGUGGAUUUUCCCUAUGAGGAGAAGCGGAUCGGCUACAUUGAAGGCUUCAGCCGGCGCUUCUGGCAAGGCAGCACCGACCACAGGGGAGUGCCAGGCAAGCCCGGCCGAGUCGUGACUCUGGUGGAGGACCCAGAGGGUUGUGUCUGGGGAGUGGCAUAUAAGCUGCCUUCUGGCCGAGAGCAGGAAGUGAAAUGUUACCUUGACUACCGGGAGAAGGGCGGUUACCGUGUCAUCGCAGUGAACUUUCACCCCCGACCCUCCGUGACCCCCACACGACACACUGACACUCCCGCUGCACCCAGCCAGGCUCUGCUCUACAUCGGUUCUAAUGACAGCCCUGACUACCUUGGCCCCGCCCCGCUGGAGCUGAUAGCCAAUCAGAUUGUAGAUGCAGUCGGACCGAGCGGACGGAACACUGAAUACCUGUUUUCAUUGGCUGAGGCGCUGAGGACCCUCCUCCCUGAAGACUCAGACACACACCUCUUCUCUCUGGAAGACCUGGUUAGAGAGAGACUAACACACACACGUACUACAAGUGUGUCAGUAAACCAUCGCAGGGAUGCUGUAGAUUGUCAGUCAUGUGAUUGUCUCCAGGACCAUUCAGAGCUGGGUCAGGGUUAGGGUUGGGACCGUUCAGAGCUGGGUUAGGGUUGGGACCGUUCAGAGCUGGGUCAGGGUUGGGACCGUUCAGAGCUGGGUCAGGGUUAGGGUUGGAACGUUCAGAGCUGGGUUAGGGUUGGGUUGGGACCGUUCAGAGCUGGGUCAGGGUUGGACCGUUCAGAGCUGGGUCAGGGUUGGGACCGUUCAGAGCUGGGUUAGGGUUGGAACCUUUCAGAGCUGGGUCAGGGUUGGGACCGGUUCAGACUGGGUUUAGG